AGUCUAAGGUAGGUCCAGGUGUUCAGUCUAAGGUAGGUCCAGGUGUUUCAGUCUAGACUAAGGUAGGUCCAGGUGUUUCAGUCUAGACUAAGGUAGGUCCAGGUGUUCAGUCUAAGGUAGGUCCAGGUGUUUCAGUCUAGACUAAGGUAGGUCCAGGUGUUUCAGUCUAGACUAAGGUAGGUCCAGGUGUUCAGUCUAAGGUAGGUCCAGGUGUUCAGUCUAAGGUAGGUCCAGGUGUUUCAGUCUAGACUAAGGUAGGUCCAGGUGUUUCUCUAACAGACUAAGUCUUGGAGGUAGUUCUCAGUAGGAUCGUGUGCAGGGUUCAGGGUUAAUAAACAUGAAUCAGAGCUUGAUAUCUGAACUAUGUAGUAGUUCAACACAUGCA
Gadus macrocephalus (Pacific cod) is the source of this 385-nucleotide long non-coding RNA. RefSeq lists it as uncharacterized. Lineage: Eukaryota; Metazoa; Chordata; Actinopteri; Gadiformes; Gadidae. The record is from RefSeq and is a predicted model, not a curated record. The transcript is spliced from 2 exons.